ACUUUUUUGUUAAAAACAGACACAAACACACACAUUAGCCUAGGCUUACAGAGAGUCAGGAUCAUCAGUGUCACUGUCUUCCACCUCCACAUCUUGUCCCAUUGGAAGGUCUUCAGGGGCAAUAACACACCCGGAGCUGUCAUCUCCUAUGAUGACAAUGCUCUUAUGGAAUACCUCCUGAAAGGCCUGCCUGAGGCUGACAGUUAACUUUUCUUAUAAGUAGAAGGAAUGCACUCUAAAAUAAUGAUAAAAAGUAUAAUACAGUAAAUAUAUGAACCAGUAACAGUCGUUUAUUAUCAUUUUGAAGUAUUAUGUAUUGCACAUAAUCAUGUGUGCUACCUUUUUAUAUGACUGGCAGCAUGGUAGGUUUGUUUACACCAGCAUCACAACAAACAUGUGAGUAAUACAUUGCGGUACAGUGUUACAAUGGCUUUGUCGCUAGGUGAUAAGAAUUUUUCAGCUCCAUUAUAAUCUUAUGGGACUAAUGUCAUAUAUGUAGUCCAUCGAUGAUCAAAAUGUCAUUAUGGGGCACAUGACUAUAAAUGUACCUCUUGAGGACUGGCCUUUCUGACAGCUUUUUUUUUUAGUUUUGAGGAUCAAACCCUUGGGGCCAUUGAUUCAUUGGAUCAUUCAGCAAAUGAUCAAAUGGGUAAUUUGCGGUACAAUCUAAGCAAAGGAAAACCUGAAGAUGUCCAUUUCUUCAAGGAAGCUCUAAUCUGGAACAGCAAUAAAUUCUCUACGCAAAAGAGAAACACUCAAGGCAGUAAGGUAACAGCUCUGAAAGUGCUAAAAAUAUGGAGGGGAGCGAGCGAUAACUUGUAUGGUCACCAUUGACCUUGCUGAUGCAGAAAUAAAUCAUCUUUACUCUUCAUUCUCUUGAAUUCUCACCUACCCUGCCACCUCAUCCAAAAUUUGUUAAUUCUAUGUGCAAAACAUCUUUCAAAUCCACCCCUCUCUCUUCAUCCUCACUGCCCCCAUCCUAGUCCACAUCAAUGCCAGUCUUCUGAUUUUCCUGUCCCUAGUCUGAUCUUCUCCCAAUGCACUCUGCAGAGUGACCUUUAUGAAAUGUAGAUCUGAUUAUGCCACGUUCCCACUUUAAAAGCCUCUAGAGGUGUGAACCUCUAGAGUCUUCUAGAAUCUGACUUCCAUUCUCUGUCCAGCUUUAUUUCUUGCUGGACUACUCUAUGCUCCAGCCAUAUUGGUCAAAAAUUGUUUUAGUUUCUGGAACCUAUGGUGAUCCUCUCACCGAGGCCUGCUAUUUUCUCUUACUGGAACUCUGUCCCCUCCCCUGGGCACCCUCCCGCCUCUGGCCUAGCGAAUUCCUUCCAUCUUCCGGUCUCAGUUCCUCCAAGAAACCUUCUCACCUAACCCGUCCGGUCAGGGUACUUUCCUUACCUAACACCCACUCCCUCGUUUACUUCUCUUUGGCUGGACUGAAGUUGGGCAGGGCAGGGGCUAGUCUGCCUUCUUCUGGGCCCAACCCUCCCGGCCGGCACCACAGGCAUUACAGGUACUCUGUGCACUCAGGCUGCGCAGACCCGCAGCUUCCUAUCCUGUAGCUCACUUUCCUCUGAGGCGGGCUGGAGGCGGAGCUUGUCCGCUGGGGGUGGGGCUCAAAGCUGGGGCGGGGAUACGGAGCAAAACUUAAGAGGAAGAUGAGAAGCCUGGUUGGCCAGGAGGCUUAUCUGUCAGGACAGGGGGCGGGGCCUGG
Molecule: long non-coding RNA, 1711 nt
Filed under: Homo sapiens (human)
Lineage: Eukaryota; Metazoa; Chordata; Mammalia; Primates; Hominidae
Description: HSALNT0018388
Source: RNAcentral